RNAcentral lists this long non-coding RNA (1172 nucleotides) under Coturnix japonica (Japanese quail). RNAcentral describes it as "lncRNA (ENSCJPG00005003008.1)". Lineage: Eukaryota; Metazoa; Chordata; Aves; Galliformes; Phasianidae. The record is from RNAcentral.
UAAGAAGUGGGGUGUUAAUUAAAGGGGGGUUAAUUAGGGAGGAGGGUUAAUUAGGGGGGGUCAGUUAAUGGGGGUUAAUUAAUUGGAUGGGGAGCUGGGGGGUGGGGCUGUCAAUGAGGCAGAUGGGUCCCUAUGGGGUCCCUAUGGGGUUUCUAUGGGGUCCCUAUGGGGCACAGGGGUCUCUAUGGGGUUUCUAUGGGUCUCUAUGUGGUCCCUAUGGGGUCCCUAUGUAGUUCCAUACCAGAGAAGCACUCUGUGAACUCCUGUUCCAGUUUGGUGGCUCGUUCCAGAGCUUUCCGCGCCUGCUCCUCUGUCACGCGCUUACUGAUAUCCCUGAGAAGGGAACGGGCGCCAUUAAAACCUAUAGGGGAUCCCAUUAAACCUUAUAUGGGAUCACAGACCCCUUAUAUGGGAUCACAGACCCCUUAUAUGGGAUAACAUAGCCCUUAUAUGGGAUAACAGAUUCCCUUAUAAGGCAAAGGGGGCGGGGCCUCAGACCACGCCUACCACAAGCCCCGCUCACAUGACACAAACCACGCCCCUCUAUACAGACCCCGCCCACCACCUCAGGCCAUCCAUAAACCACGCCCCCCUUUUAGGCCACGCCCACCAUCACUUAUAGCUCUGCCCACCAUCCUCAGGCCACGCCCCCUUCUAGACCCCGCUCACACGCAAGCCACGCCCCUAACUACAUGCUCCGCCCCCUUAUACGUUACCCCCUUUAUAAGCCCCGCCCCUUUCUUAGCCCCGCCCACCUCCCUUUACCCCACCCAGUCCUAAGCCCCGCCCCUUCCGCCUCGAAGCUCCGCCCACCACCACGUGACCGCUCCUCCCUUAGACCACGCCCCCACCCCCUUAAGCCACGCCCCCAUUUCUGAAACCACGCCCACUUCUCACAGGCCCCUCCCCCUCCCCAUAAGACUCAAUGUAACCCCUCCGUUUUGGCCCCGCCCCUUUGGCCCCGCCCCUUUAGGCCCCGCCCGUUUGUGUUCUCUCACAGGAUGUUCUGCAGGCUCUUGGGCCGGAUGAAGAUGGCGAUGGGGUGCAGCUGAGCCGCCUGCAGCCGCCGCACCGCGUUGGCUGACACGUCCAGGAUGCAGUGCUUGCCCUAAGGGACAUAGGGACACAUAGAGCCAGAUAUUCCCCCAUAUCUGCCCCAUAUCCCCCCUAUA